UCAGGAAAAGAGAAAAGUAUCAUGAGAACACAGGAGAGACAUCUAACACAUCAGGCACCCUGGAGGAGGUGGGGUCUAAUCUGUGACCAGGUAGUUAUGUGGAAAGGAGUUGGAGGAAGAACAGCGGGAAGGGAAGGAAGCAUACAGCGCACAGGGAGAAUUAUGAUUGUUUCCAUACUGCCAAGCAAAAAACCAUAACACAGACUUUGAAGAGAAAUAACAAUCGAGAAGUCAAGUAGAACCAGAUCUUAGGAGCCUUGUUUACAGCAGUUGAUGGAAAGAAUUUUAGAAUUCUAAGCAAAAUAAGCUGUCCAAUUUGGUUUUCUUUAUCUCAGAGGUAUAUCAAUUAGUAAUUAGUUUGUUCUGCUUACCAAAAAAAAAAAAAAAUUCCAAAACCUAGAAGUUUGAAAGAGUGAUGAUUCAAUUUGUAAAAAUGAGAAUGAUUCUUCUGGUCAGGUCAGCUCAAUUGAUUCUACCUGAUUUCUUAAGGAUCUGAAGGCAGCUGAGGAGUUGGAUAGCAGCAGGAGUGCUAGCUCCCAGACCCCUUGAGUUCUGAACUCACAAUGUAGAAUAUUCCAUCAUCACCAUAUUCCAUUAGUCAGAGCUAGUCACAAGGCCAGCUUAGAUUCAAGGGAAGUGCAGUGCAGAGAAAUGGGCUCAUUCUUAAUGGGAGAAACUACAAGAUUUUAUUACAGAGAAAUAAAACCAAAGAUUUACAAAGGAAUUUAAAAAAAAAAGACUCCUUUUCCUUCCCACACUGUUAUGCCAGAUAGAAGAUGCCUGCACCGUGAUUUUUUAAAAGUUGAUCUUCUCAUGCCACAACUGCAGGAGAGGGCACAGUUUUUGUACUCAGUAGAAUAAGGCAGGAUGAGCAAGGGAAGGUGAUGUUUUGGUGUGAAAGCAACCAUCUCAGGUUCUCCACGGAAUGGGAAUUGUGACCCCUGCCUCUGUACUAAAGGACAGCAGGGACUUUGAGAAUGGGCUGUCUAAGGCUUGCAGCUUGACCACUUAUAUGUCUUCUUAUCCAGAACACUUAACUGCCCACCUCUGAUGAAACAGCAGCCCUACACAAUGAGCAUCUCAGGAAAGACAGUCACGUAAUUUACACCAGAGAAUCUUUACCCCAGUCGCCAUAUCGGGAAAGCUCCUUGGAUGUUGUAAAGCUACUAGGGCAAGGGAGAUAACCUCUAAAACAUAACCAAGUUUGAACACCCUACGAACUCCAACUAAACAACUAAACAACUCAUAGGAUCUUAAUUCUUUCACCGAAAGUUAAAGCCUAUGAAUAUUUAAGUGAAUCAAUUUCUCAUUUUAAUAAUUAUUUCAUAGUGAUUCACUAAUUUCUUCUGAUGGUUAUGAUGACCAGGCAAUGUAAAAUAUGAGAAAUCUAAUUUUUGGGUCCUCAGGCACAAAUACUGCUUCACUCCAUAUUUUCACUAAUGCAAUGAGAGAUUGGCAUUGGAUUACAAAGCCUCUCCUGGUUGAGGUCAGUGCCCUGGGCCAUGGAUACUUGGCUUCAGGAAGGAAAACCACAAAUCUGAAGGCUCCUUGGUGAGUUACAGGAAUGAAAUUGCCUGUGCCUGCCCUCAGGAUGGGGGCGUCUUACCAAGGACACUGUUGAGUCAUCUCAUCUCCUGCUCCUCUUCUUCCCAUUCUGGAAACCCGCAGAGUGUGGGUUUGGGCCAAGCAACUUAUCUACCUGUUUUUUGGAAGAGCCUGGGAUACAAAGAGUAAACUUUUCUGCUAGAUCUCUGUUACACUACUGUGCUCUGCCAUUUUACUGCUCUCAGAAGUUCCCUCUUAUCCAUGGGGACACACUUCAAAACCACCAGAGGAUACUUGAAAAUGAGGAUCAUAUCAAACCUUCCACAUACUGUUUUUUCUAUUUAUCAAUUAGGCAAUAAGAGAAUAAAAGCAAGAAUAAUAGUAAACAGAACAAGUAUCAUAAUAUACUAUUAUGAAAGUUGUGUAAAUUCUCCCUAUAUCUAUUUAUCUAUUUCUCAUUACAAGGCAGGUAACUAAGGCAGUACAAAAAUGCUGGACAAAGGGAUAAUUCAUGUCCCAAGAUGGAAGAGCAGAUCACACUAUAUUUUGUGAUGCUACUCUAACCUCAAUUUAAAAGUUAUGGUUUAUUUCUAGAACCUUCCAUUAAUAUUUUCAGACCAUGGUAAACUGAUAACUAAAAAUACAGACAAAGUGACAACAAAUAAGAAGAAACAAUUGCACAUGCACCCCAAACCUACACCAAGAAGCUAGUUUAGGGAUGGCUUCAGAUAAGACUUUUCUUAGCAUUCAAUGAUUUCGAUCCAACUCAGUCAGCCUACAAUUUCUAAUGAAUGCCUUCACUUCUAAAUAUGUUUUAAUUCAUUCAUCUCAUUGUCAAUUUUUGCCCAAGAUCAUGAUCAGUAAUGACAUGCCUAAUAUAGGGUAAGAAUAACAAAAAUUUCAGGGACAGUUUAAAAUGUUUAAAGAUUGAGAAACACAGAAAAGAGUCCAAAGAAGUCAGAAUUUUUCACGGUGUGAUCCCUUGAGUUUGUGUAUAAAAUCAUCCAGGCAAUUUUUUUUCCCAAAAGAAAUUCCUGGGCCCAACUGCUGUAAUCUGAAUGUUUGUUUCCUCUCAAAACUCGCAUGUUGAAACAUAAUCACCAAUUGUUGCUAUUAGGAAGUCUGGCCUUUUGAAGGGGAUUAGAUCAGGAGGGAAAACCCCUGGGAUCGGGAUUAGUGUCCUCAUACAAGUGACCUAAGGGAGUUUGUGUGUCCCUUCCACCAUGUGAAGUCACAGAAAGAAGAUCUCAGCUCUGCACCAGGAAACGGGUUUUCUCCAUACAUCACAUAUGCCAGGGCCUUCAUCUUGGACUUCCCACCUCCUGGACUAUAAGAAAUAAAUUUCUGUUGUUUUUGUCUGCCCAGUCGAAGAUGUAUUACAGAAGCCUAGAGGGACUGUGAUGUUGGAUAUGUUUAAUCUCCAAAGGAUAAAGCUGAGAUUCAGCAUGUCUGAUUCCAACAGAUUAAAGUUGACAAUCACUGAAGUAAAGGAUGAUUAAGAAUCAAAAUAUGGCUCUGAAGAACAUUUUGAUAAAAUAUCUCUAUCUCAAGAAAUAACAUUCAGCAUGCAUAAUGGUUUGCUGUAUGUAUGUCAUCAUUAUAAUAUGGGUACCAUAAGGAUGACCAUGAAGAACACUGUCAGUCUUCCUCAUUGUGGGGAAAUCUGGAGGUAUCCAAAAACAAGAAGCUUUGUAAGCCUCUCCUGAGGGACAUUGUGCCCUAUCCCCAUUACACAGAAUAUUGUAAACAGGGAGAAGAGGAUAUGAGGAAGCAGCUGCCUCUUUCUUGUUGUCUCCGGUGGAUGGGGGUUAAGAGGGUGUGGUACUUCUCUCUUCCUCCAAAGACUUGACCCAAGAGACUCGAAGCAUCAUCAACUUCUCUCUUCCCAACACCAUAAUAUCUAAGUUAGAGUCUCCUAAAGAGCCCAAACCAUGGCAGAAGCUCUUCAUUGGAGGGCUGAGCUUUGACACAAUUGAUGAGAGUCUGAGGAGCCAUUUUGAGCAAUGGGAAGUGCUCAUGGACUUUGCAGUAAUGAAAGACCCGAACUCCAAGUGACCCAAAGGCUUCAGAUUUGUCACCUAUGCCACCAUGGAGAAGGUAGAUGCAUCUAUGAAUGCAAGAAUCCAUAAGGUAGAUGGAAGAUUUGUGGAGCAAAAAAAAGGGCUGUCUUACGAAAAGAUCCUCCAAGACGAGGUGCACAUCAAACUGUGAAAAAGAUCUUUGUUGGUGACAUUGAAGAAGAUAUGGAAGCCCACCAGAGAUUAUUUUGAACAGUGUGGGAAAAUCGAAGUGAUUGAGGUAAUGACUGAGUGUGGCAGUGGAAGGAGAGGGGUUUUGCUUUUGUGACCAUUAACAACCAUGACUCUGUGGAUAAGAUUGUCAUUCAGAAAUACCAUACUGUGAAUGGUCACAACUGUGAAGCAAGGAAGGCCCUGUCAAAGUAGGAGAUGACCAGUGCUUCACCCACCUCAAGAGGUCGAAGUGGUUCUGGAAACUUUGGUGGUAGUCAUGGAUAUGGUGUUGGUGGCAAUGACAACUUCAGUCAUGGAGGAAAAGUCAGUAGUUGUGGUGGCUUUGGUGGCCCCUGAGGUGGUGCUGGUUAUGAUGGCAAUGGGAAUGGUUACAAUGGAUUUGGUAAUGAUGGAAGCAACUUUGGAAGCCGUGGAAGCUACAAUGAUUUUGACAAUUACACAAUCAAUCUUCAAUUUUUGGACCCAUGAAGGAAGAAAAUUUUGGAGGUAGAAACUCUGGCUCCUAUGGUUGAAGAGGACAAUAUUUUGUCAAAAUGUGAAAUCAAGAUGCUAUGGCAGUUCUACCAGCAGCAGUACCUAUGAUAGGGGCAAAAGGUUUUAAUAAUUGUCAGGAAACAAAACUUAACAGCAGAGGAGAGCCAGAGGAGUGAAAGGGAAGAUACUUGUUACAACAGAUUUAUGAACUUGGCCAAGUACAGUGGUGGCAGGGUGUAGCUACUACAAAGAAGACACAUUUUAGACAAUACUCAUGGAUAUGGGAAAAAACUUCAAGGACUGUAUUUGUGACUAAUUGUAUAACAGUUUGUUUUAGUUUUCAUCUAUGGAAAGUAUAAAGCAUCCUGACAAGGGGUUGUAAUGUUUUUUCUUUCUUUUUUCUUUUUUUGUAUGCUGUUUGCUAAAUGUUAUAGUCUGAUCAUGAUGCUGAAUAAAUGUGUUUUUAAAACAAAUAAUUAUUCACACCAUAUUUUAAUCUUUUAAGAACUUAAAAUGCAAACAAUGUUUGCUGACUUUACUAAGAGGUAAAAAUAAUCAAGUAAUUCUCAUGAAUACUGGCUGUAGUGUUUUCUGCUGUUCACUGCCAAAUGCAGCUCAAAUGAUAGAGUAACUUACCUGAGGUCUUAAGAAUAGCAUUGUAUGUUUAUUUUUUCUUUCCUCACAACUUUGGGUAGCAUGUUUCUAAUAUAUUUGAGAACACAGAGUCACACUAAAGCCAAAUUAUGUAAUAAGUCUAGCCAAGUUAUGACUAAAACGUCCAGAACAGAACAUAUGAACAACAUAUGACAGUCCUUUAAGAAAUGCUAUGCCUUUACAAUGUUGACAAUAUACUUUUAGUCUCACAAUCAAGGAUAUGGGAUACUAAUAAUAAACACCACAAACUCCUCCACUUUACCACAUCCCCCUAGUUUCACUGUAAUUCAACUCAUUACUAUUAUUUUUCACCUGAAUCUUCCUCCAGCUGUCUAACAUUUUUUUGUUGCUUUCUCUAAAAUGUAUGGUUAUACUUCUUACAGAAGCUAAAGUAACCUUCUUAAACAUAAACUAGUUCAUAUCAUCUUUUAACAUUCUCUAAUGUUUCUAUCCUUCAGGGGCAAAAAAAAAUCCUAUAGUACUUAUUCUACAUGUAGGAAGGCCUACAUUAUCUGUACCUCAGUUCACUUACUAGACAACAACUACAUCAAACUUGUGGUUCUAGUAUAUUCUACCCUUGUUUCCAAAGUAAGGCUCAUUGCUCUAGCUAUUCACCUCACCUGGGAUACUCACCAUCACCACCCCAAUACCAUAAGCUAUCCAAGCAUAAUGUCUUCUUUUAAUUCAUACCUUGUUUUAAAUGAAACACCUUCUUGGGCCUCUCUUGUUCACCCAUGCUAAAAUAGCACCCCUGUCAUCUGUGGAACUAUUCUUCAUAGUCUUUCCUACCAUCUGGUAAUUUUCAUGUUUGUCUAUUGUUUCCAUUGUCCAAAUAAAAGAAUAAAUAAAUGAAAGCAUUACUGCUUCUGUAGAUAUCUAGAGUUCUGGAUAAUUUUUUUUAGUUCAAUAAUAUUAUAAAGAACUUUGAAAUUCCAAAUGUCAACUGAACUUGGUCUAAUGCAUGCAUUAAUGAAAGAAUCCAAUAUGGAAAAAUCAUGCAAGCCAAAGUGAUCAUAAAGGAUGUGUCUGACACCAUGGCUAGCAAAAAGAAAAAUGAUUCCAAAUUGGUUUGUUCCUUGGGAUAAUUAGCUUUAAGUUCACAAAGACCUGUGAGAUACAAGAGAUCCACAUUGACCCGCAUUCAAUCUAUGUUUUCCAAUAGGAAUUAUUGUUGACCAAUGGUAUUUGAAACUUGUUAACAAAAAUGAUUUAACAAUUAUUAAGUAAGCAGACAGCACAGCAACAAUGAAGAGGAAAAUUUAUGAAAUUCAGAGAGAUCGUGUGAAUUUAAGUCACAGAGUAUCACAGUGGUCUCACUCUUCUUGUAAGCCAUCAGGACAGUUCCUCAAGAUGAGAGAACAUUAAGGAAGUAUCACAGUCCAUGUCCUUUAAAGCCACAUGUUUAGUAAUUUUUGAAAUAGCAAAUGUCUUAUUCAAGUACUCUCUGACAGUACACACUAUGAAAAGUGGUUUUGUCCACUAAUUGCUUUCAUGGUUUUCUCUAGCAUUUUCUUUUUCUGCUUAGUCACUCAUUUUGGAAAAAAAAAAAAAGACUAAAGGUCAGCCUUAGACAUAUGAGGAUCUUUUUAAGUAGUGAAUUUGUACAAAAAUUACAGAUCCAUUAGGCUAUUAUAUGCCAGUUCCCCAACAGAGAAAGCUUAAAAUUUUAUUUCUGAGCAGAUGCUCUCUGAGAUGGAAAUUGCCAGAGCCAAGUUCCUUUUAUGAAGAAGAAACAUAAUACACACAUUUUAACAUAUCCAUUUUUUUAGCUUUCCAUUUAGUGCUAUCCACACAAAAUCCUGGCUAGAAGUAUAGAAUUAUUGCAACAUGUAAAUAAAAUCUGCUUGCAAUUCACAGUUGUAGCAUCACAUGCCCAAUUUUGAAAAACUGGUAACAUGCUCAGUUGGUUGUUCUUGAAACUCAAUUACUGCAGGUUUCUGAAAAUACAAGUCUGACAGUUGAGAAUUCCUUAUGCCAAGGACAUAAAAUGCUAAAUAUAGAAGACAAUUUCAAAUUGCCUACUUGAAUAUUUUGCCAAACUAUGUAAAAAUAUGCAAUUGCAGAAAGCAUUGUUUUUCCUCUCAUCACUCCAUGAUGCAUAAAUGUCCAUCUUCAAGUUAAUUGAACUCACCUACAAGCUAAUUAAUUUUGAAUUCAAAUAUUUCUCAAAAGAUUUCAGAUUGGCAUAUGAGCACUGUGGAAUAAUUGCAUGUGUUCUCAAUGCAAAUUUUGGGACCAAUAAUCCUUAGAAAUAAGAAUAUCUUUGUUUUUCUUGUGAAUUAUUAUGACAAAAUGUCCUGCUGUUGGAAAAUAACCAAGUCCUUUGCUUUCUUCUUAUUUUCUAUUUUUCAUACAUUUCAAUUAGUAAAAUGAAUUUUUAUUUGAGCUUGUUUUGGAUAAGCCAGAAUAUAGAGAAAAGGCAAAAUAUGAAAACUCUGUGGUUAACUGCAUGAGG
Oryctolagus cuniculus (rabbit) is the source of this 7380-nucleotide non-coding RNA. NCBI's taxonomy places the organism in Eukaryota, Metazoa, Chordata, Mammalia, Lagomorpha, Leporidae. The record is from RefSeq and is a predicted model, not a curated record.